GAUGAACGCUGGCGGCGUGCCUAAUACAUGCAAGUCGAGCGAACAGACGAGGAGCUUGCUCCUCUGACGUUAGCGGCGGACGGGUGAGUAACACGUGGAUAACCUACCUAUAAGACUGGGAUAACUUCGGGAAACCGGAGCUAAUACCGGAUAAUAUAUUGAACCGCAUGGUUCAAUAGUGAAAGACGGUUUUGCUGUCACUUAUAGAUGGAUCCGCGCCGCAUUAGCUAGUUGGUAAGGUAACGGCUUACCAAGGCAACGAUGCGUAGCCGACCUGAGAGAGUGAUCGGCCACACGGUGACAGAGACACGGUCCAGACUCCUACGGGAGGCAGCGGUAGGGAGUCUUCCGCAAUAGGCGAAAGCCUGACGGAGCAACGCCGCGUGAGAGAUGAGGAUCUUCGGAUCGUAAAACUCUGUUAUUAGGGAAGAACAAAUGUGUAAGUAACUAGGCACGUCUUGACGGUACCGGAUCAGAAAGCCACGGCUAACUACGUG
This 497-nucleotide ribosomal RNA is filed under the name uncultured bacterium. RNAcentral's name for it is "partial 16S ribosomal RNA". It matches the Rfam family "Bacterial small subunit ribosomal RNA", at positions 28 to 507 of the family's 1533-position model. The record is from RNAcentral.